Molecule: long non-coding RNA, 1315 nt
Organism: Girardinichthys multiradiatus
Lineage: Eukaryota; Metazoa; Chordata; Actinopteri; Cyprinodontiformes; Goodeidae
Exons: 4
Source: RefSeq, a predicted model, not a curated record
CCUGCUGAGGAGUAUUUAAGGAGGAGGCUGCCAGCAACUCACUGCCAGAGUGUUGCCCUUAUGGUUUACCUGAACCUGACUUUUCCUUCUGCAUUGAACCCUGUCUGGAUUACCGUCUUCUGGAAAGAAGCUAUCCAGCUCCAUGAACAAAGACUCAAGCCUCUUAUUACUUCGUUGGAUCAUACCGGCUGUCAGCCUCCUAAUUCCUUCGUUCUUUGGAUCUCCUUCUACGAACCCUGUCCACCUCCUCCAUCCACUGCACCAACUUCAGAAACUCUUGGACCUACUAAACAUCCUGGCACACCAGUAUUCACCAUCCUCAGUCUCAUGGGUAAACAACCCCUUGGUCCCUCCACCCCCCUCUGGUGGAUCUCUCCAUCAAUCCAUUGGUAUCCCGGUUCCAGUUCCCUGCACAUUUCAUUACCGUUAAACUCAGUCUCCUGAAUUGCUUUCUGCAUGUGGGUCAAAUCUGUUUGAAACAAUAUGACAAAAACAGGCAACCUCUCAGUCCAUGUUGGUGUAAAGCUGUCCUCGCUGUGGACAGUGUUGUUGCUGUCCCUGCAGUUUCCAGUUGACGUCAGGAUUGAACCUUACUGGUUACGGUCCUUCACAAUUUCUAUGUGUCAGAAAGUUUCAGUAAAGGGGGUCCCGGAUGGGUGAAACUUUGACUGCAAGAACUCCAUACAAUGGAUAACUACAAGAUCAGUCGAGUGACUUUCAAAAAAUGUUCUGAAUUAAAAAUCAAAAGAAACAGACAGGUGUGUUUGUAGCUGCCUUCCUCUCUAAUAAUCUCACCUAAUUAAAUUUCUCGCCCAACUGAAGUCGCUCUGCUUUUCUUUGGGGAAUCUAAUUUGAUCCUUCCUCUAACCAGCCCCUUUGUGUUAAGUCCCCCUUUGUAUUCCCUUCUUUUUGAAUCUUCAGUGCACUUUUAAAGAACAGGUGCGAUGACAGAUGCCGUUGCUCCAUUUUAUUCAUUCCGAUUCAACUCGUCUCUUCUCCACCUCCUCCCGUCACCCCAUCUCUUUGCAUCUUAAUUCCUUUUGCACCUUCUGUCCUUUCAUUAUUCAUCAUGCCACUCAAGGCUGUUCCCUGUCUUUCUUAUGUCCUCCCUCCCUCACUUGUUACUUUUCAAUUCAGAUGAAUUAACCACAGCCACUCUUGUCUCUCAUAUCCCAUCUUCCUCUCCAUUAUGCUGCUUUCCUGCCCUCCCACUUUAACGCUCUCCCUCCUUUCAUCUCUUCCUCAACACACCGCACUCCUACCCCCACCCUCAGGUUUUCUUCCACUGUUUUCCUUCAUACUUCAUCUUCCCUCA